CGAAGAAGAACAGCUUGUUCCUCUCCGCCGCCUGCACUCCGCUCCCAAACGACUUCGACUUGUCGUUCCCCCCUUCUUUCCCUUUCCUCCGGCCGACCACUCCGGCGACGCCGCCUCGCUUUUUUAAACAAACCACCAAGGCGGCGAUCAACGCCGCCAGCAGAACUGCCGCCGCUCCGACUACGAUCGCGAUGAUGAGAUUGGUACCGCGCCUCUUCUUUCCCCCUCCGGCGGCUAGAGGAUUCGGCUUCGAAUCUGGAAUCGGCGGAUUCGAAUUCGAAUUAUUCGAAUCGGAAUCAGAGCAGCGCUUGAGGGGUUCGCCGCAGAGCAAGGCGUUACCGACGAAGGCAAUGGAAGGGAACCGCUGCAACGGCGGCGGAAUUUCGCCGGCGAGGU
Molecule: long non-coding RNA, 396 nt
Filed under: Linum usitatissimum (flax)
Lineage: Eukaryota; Viridiplantae; Streptophyta; Magnoliopsida; Malpighiales; Linaceae
Description: long non-coding RNA (LUSI_LNC001426)
Source: RNAcentral